CAAGGCUUGCACGAGGGCAAGCAACAACGGAAGCGAAAGCUCUAUACUAAAACAUACAACCAUAUAUGAUAUUUGAUUAGAUUUAAACCAAAUACAAUUGAACUAAAACUAUUACAUCUUUUUCCAUUCAACCAUAAUUCUCAUACAACUUAAUCAUUCUACCAAAACACAUGAUUGUUUACAAUUUUACAUUUCUCUAAAUCAACAAA
This 209-nucleotide long non-coding RNA is filed under the name Ananas comosus (pineapple). Its description in RNAcentral is "long non-coding RNA (ACOM_LNC042301)". Lineage: Eukaryota; Viridiplantae; Streptophyta; Magnoliopsida; Poales; Bromeliaceae. The record is from RNAcentral.